Molecule: ribosomal RNA, 501 nt
Filed under: uncultured bacterium
Lineage: Bacteria
Description: partial 16S ribosomal RNA
Rfam family: Bacterial small subunit ribosomal RNA
Source: RNAcentral
AUUGAACGCUGGCGGCAUGCCUUACACAUGCAAGUCGAACGGCAGCACGGGUGCUUGCACCUGGUGGCGAGUGGCGAACGGGUGAGUAAUAUAUCGGAACGUACCUUAUUGUGGGGGAUAACGCAGCGAAAGCUGUGCUAAUACCGCAUAAUCCCUAAGGGGGAAAGCGGGGGACCGUAAGGCCUCGCGCAAUUAGAGCGGCCGAUACCUGAUUAGCUAGUUGGUGAGGUAAAGGCUCACCAAGGCAACGAUCAGUAGCUCGGCUGAGAGGACACUGAGCCACACUGGGGCUGAGACACGGGCCAGACUCCUACGGGGGGCAGCAGUGGGGAAUUUUGGACAAUGGGGGCAACCCUUAUCCAGCAAUGCCGCGUGAGUGAAGAAGGCCGUCGAGUUGUAAAGCUCUUUUGUCAGGGAAGAAACAGCAGCUCUAACACAGUAUGCGAAUGACGGUACCUGAAGAAUAAGCACCGGCUAACUACGUGCCAGCAGCCGCCGUAA